Cynoglossus semilaevis (tongue sole) is the source of this 3738-nucleotide long non-coding RNA. RefSeq lists it as uncharacterized. The record is from RefSeq and is a predicted model, not a curated record. The transcript has 2 exons. NCBI's taxonomy places the organism in Eukaryota, Metazoa, Chordata, Actinopteri, Pleuronectiformes, Cynoglossidae.
GCCCGCUAAAGAAGGAAUACAAAUCGAAAAAAGUAAAAAAAUAAAAAGUUAUAAAAAAAGAGAAAGUUAAGUACGGUACGGAGUCAAGUGUCUACGUAUGGGGCGAUUCUCUUCCCUUCCUCCCUCCCUCCCUCCUGCUCCUCCUCCUUUGUAGAGCAUAUACCAUAAUUUUAAUACUGUAUAAUAGCAACCCUAAUACUUCCACAACAACACACCAUUGAAUCCAAUGGUUCAGCCUGGAAACAGUGAACUGACUACUAGCUGAAAUGGCUUUUUCAAAUGCCGCAUUUCUUUGGAGUUUAAGCAAGAAAAUGACUGUCCACCACUUUCUACUUACAAAACAAAAUAGCGCUUCAAUACAGUAUAAGCCCUGAAUACUCCAUUAAAGCAUUACAACAACAUGGUGACAUUUUUGGUUUCUUCAAAACAUAUUACUCUACAACUUUGUUUGCUGUCCAUCAACGCCUCUCCGCCUGUGCAAAGUUGCAUUAUUCUUCAUGACUGCUCACUCACUGUGGCCCCUCUGCAUAUUCCGACACUCAGCAGAAGCCCAGAAAAAGGCCAUGAGGGACAAAAUAACAACAGCCAUAUGCUAGCAGACUUUCACGUGUGAUCUUUAAAUAUCUUUGCGGCUCUAGCAGCUCGUUAAAUUUGUUUGAACUUGAAUUUCCUGCACAGUGAUCCUUGAAAAUAGACGUGCCACAAAUAAACUACUUUCAUCUCAUUCCGAGCAGCUGGAUGAAAUACUAAUCCACAAACUCUGGUGACAGCUACCCACCAGCAGCAGCAGCAGCACCGUUCAGUCUUCACCAUCUCCUCAAUAACAGGUGAAUCUGUCUGGACUGUCAUUGGUGUUUGAAAGAAUGGAGUGCUAAGGCUAAAGUCAGUAACAAGGCGUAACAGGAGAAGUGUAUUAGAACGCCGUUGGAUAAUAUAUGAAAGGUCAACAUAGAAACCAUCAGUCAGACUCUUUCUUUUAACAUCCCAACACAAGUGGGCAAAAUCUCCUGGGAUUCAAACCACAUUAUGAUGUGAUGGUGGCCUGUCACAAGUAGUGUGUUUAUUAUAGCAGUGCAGUAUUAUUAUUACCUUGAAUCUACAAAGGCUUCAAUAGGAAACAAAGGAUUUUGAUUGGUGUAUUUGUCUGCAUACUAUUUGGUUUGCAUGCAAACUGUAAAAAAAACCCUACUAAUUCCUGGUCCUGGCUAUAGUUAAAUGAAAAUGCCAUUCUGGAGUGGUUUGCACAGGCACAAAGGGAUUACUACAACACAACACAACCUGAAAGGGAACAUGUCUUUUCAUGUCUUUGAAGCCCUUUGUGAUAGCAUUGACGCAAACAGAAUGUAAAAGACAAGAACAAUUAACUCUACAAAAAUGAUUUUGAUAUUACAUACAUAGGUACAUUUUAACUAGUCAAAAGCUAUUGUUUUCCAUUAUAUUUUUAGUCUUGCCAAUCAUUCUGCUAAAACCUAUUUGAUUUACUUGUUCGUCUUCCUUUGAACUUCACAGGUGCAGACAGGAAUAUAGGAAAGCAUGAAAGGUUGAACGUGAAAGAAAUGUAGCUGACACACAGGACAGAAUAACCCUGACAAGGAUAGGACAUUAAAGCAUUCAACAUAGAAUGAGAACAUCCUUCCUUACAAGAAGAAUAAGAUAUUAGCAUGGUUCCGUACAAAAGAGACAACCUAUUCAGUGCAGUGAUUCCACCAAACAAAUCCAAUAUUAAUGGAUGAAAACAUACAGUGUUGAGAACCAACCACAUCUAAAGACAUUCUAGGAGGCUUUUAUCCAGUGGCACACAGUUACAAAGAAUAACGUUUAAAGAGGUGUGCACAUGUGGGCAUGAAUGACGGACAACACGGGUUUAUUGCACUACCUGUGCUUCAGGAAGUGCAACAGGAACAAAGAGCAGAGUCACAUGAGGCGGUGGUUGGCAGACUUGGCUUAAAGUGUGACACUUAAAACUAUUUAAUCCCACAAUACAUCUGUUACAGUAACAUUUAUAUGACACUAAGGUUCUAGUACUGGGUAGUAGGAUAAUUAUACUGUGUUGUAGUUCAACUUUUGACAUCAGCUGUGGUAUUUUAAUGACCGUGUUGCUUUCUCCAAGUAUUGAGCUCAUUCACAAAAUACAGCAGAGACAACAGACAGCUGCCUUACAAUGAUGGAAGUAUAAAAAUCAGUGCACACCACACACUGUACUGUACAUAAGAAAGAAAUCCAUUUUAUAGGAGACUUCAAGUGCAAAAGUAGUUUCUCAGUUGGAAAUCAUGUGAUGAUCAUAAUUUAAAAAUUAAUUAACAAGAAAAGUUACAGGAGGCUAAAUCUUCACAGAGAUAUGUGGCUGGUUCCUGGUUUUGCACCUUCACUUUUGUAACUUUAGUGUUUAGCAUUAUAUUUGGGAGGCAAUAUACUUAAUGACACCCCUAAAUCGUCAGGGUUUUUUUUUUCUUCAGUUUUCUAUAUAUCUCCAGAUCACAACAAAAGUCCUAUCAAAUAUGUAAGAAAAGAAAUAGUUCACCUAACAUGGCAUGUUGUUUCUGUGUACACAUGGUCACACGGACAUGUUGCCAUGGCCACAUGUGGGCAGUGUUUUAUGAACAUGGUUUAAUGUAGAAUUUAACUAAAUGGUGAGCUAUAAUAACUGCUGUCAUUGAAGAAAAAAAGAAAAAUACUGAUGUCCUUUGUGUAUGCGUCUGUAGCCUCAAAACUGUUUAGGCUGGAUUUCUUCAAUUGGUGGUCCAUCAAAAAUAAAUCAAUGAGGUUUCAGUUAAAAACAAAUUAUAAUAAUUUCACAUUGAAAUGUGAGUGGAUUUUAACCAACUUUUUAAACGAAACUCAUUGUUACCAAACAGCAUAACAAAAAGUAACAGUCAAAAUACUUUAAAUGACUUUUUAGUAGAUUUAAAGUGGUAAAAAAAAUCCUGUAUUUAAUUGUGUACUUUGUUUACAAACACUGUUUACAACAUUUAUAGUUGCUAUGGUAUACUGGCCAGCAAACCAUAGUGCAGAGCCCCACUCUUCUGUGCAACUGUACACUGCCAACAAUUUCACAAACUCUAAAUGUAAGAAACAAUUCAAAAUGAACUCGUGUUUACACUGUUACACUGUCUCUGUUCUUUACAAAAAAAAAUCACCCAGAUCAGUUGCAAAAGAAAUACAAAACAAGGAAAUAAGAGUGGCAGGCAAGGCAAAGGCAAAUAAACUGAUGAAUGAAUUAUUUAUGAGAUGUGUGAACAUGAUUAAAUUGAACUUUUAUAUUUUUAAGGCAGUCUCUCCUUUUUUCCAUCGAUUGCUUAUACACUAGGGAUUCAUACUGUGAUGUGCACCCUCCUGGUGUCUGUGUUCAAGCUAUUGAAAGAAAUGCAUGUUAUGGUUUCUUAUAUUGACUCUAUGGGGAUUUUCCCAUUUUAAUAUACAACACCUAGCCCUUCUGUUAACAACUACUGCCUCCGUUAGCCUCCUACCAACCUUCCCAAUGUUAGCAAAUGAAGCUGAUUAGCAGACAUCAUUCACAUUCUCUUAAUAUGAUACGUCACACACUGACUAUAUCUCGAAAUAAAUGCCUCUGUUGACACAGAUAAAUUUCGCUUUUGUGAACAAAAAAGUUGAGAAAUGUGCGAAUAAACUGCCCGUGUCUGGAGAGCGCAGUCAGAGGCCAUUACUGUAAACUGGAGCUAGCCUCCGUUAGCCAUGCGAAGCUAAGGCAGAUAUAGCCAAAACACAACAUACAUUUAA